Chinchilla lanigera (long-tailed chinchilla) is the source of this 1884-nucleotide long non-coding RNA. RefSeq lists it as uncharacterized. The transcript is spliced from 5 exons. The record is from RefSeq and is a predicted model, not a curated record. NCBI's taxonomy places the organism in Eukaryota, Metazoa, Chordata, Mammalia, Rodentia, Chinchillidae.
AAAAGCAUUGAGCUUGAGGGACUAGACUAAUCAAAAAAUGGAAUAACAUGGCAACAAUUACACUGAUGAGUGAGAGGGAAGCUACAGAUGCAUUCAGACACCUAUGGCACCGCAGACUCCACGCAUUCAGCAUUUCGUGUUUAGUAUCUUGUGUUUUUGAGAGCAGGGAUCCCACAUGGUCAAAGGAUCUAUGCUAAACUAUUGACAAGUCAACAUAACUGUGUCUGAAAUGAGAAGUACAGCCUCAUGUUUGAGCAGUUUUAGAAAAUAAGCCUGUUAAAACAGACUGCUGGUCUUCAUUCAUUUAUGACUCAAACAAUUUGGUGGGACCUGAGGAUGUCCAAGACUAACAAGUUCUCAGAAGUAAUAUGAUGCUUCUAGUCUGGGGACAAAUUGUUAAGAACUGCUGCUCUGUCAGCACCACUGGAAGUCAAUAGUAAUGCUCAACUCAGUGAGAAGAUAUUUAUCAGAUUCCCUUAUGAAUAAGGUUGUGGUUGAAGCACUUGGAGCCUCUUCAGAAAAUCAGGAAAGCAACGAGGAAGAGAAAAGAUUUCCCAAAAGGGAAGUUAGGAGUUGGAUACAUCAGAGUGUGCUGUGUAGAAGACAGUUGAAAUGGAAUUGCUUGAGUUCUUGAACACAUUCCUUUAUCUCAUACGGCAUGUGAAAUAAGAAAGUAUACAUAUGAAUAUGAAUAUGAAAUUUUUCUGUGAAUUUUUGAUAUGUUAUAUAUUUUUUCUGGUAUGAAUACCUUAUUUUAACAAAAAUGAAUACAAACAGACUUUACAUUCUGAAAGUCUCAAACUUUCACUUUUUUAAAGAAGAGAGAGACAAGCACAUUAGACUCAAUUUCAGGCAUGGAAAAACUAAUACCAGAUUUUUUUUUUUUGGUUCCAGGGAUCUAACUCAGGACCUUGCUCUUGGCAGGCAGGCACUUGUGCCGCUGAGCUAUAUCCUGGGCCCUAAUACGAGAUUUUUAAGUUAUAUAAACUAGCUGUAUUUUUAAUACCAUAAAAAUAGUGACAUUCACUAGUUUCAAGUGUACCUGUAAGAAGCACAUGGACAUAUAUUUGUGUAAAACCACAGUCUCAUGUCAAUACACAUCUAUGUGUUCGACACAUAUUUUCAUUAAUGUUUGGCAUAACUCUAUGAAUGUCAAACUGCACAAAUUGCUUUUAUGAUUGUGUUUGGGAAAUUGAAACAUACAAACAAUGUAGAUUAAGCAGCUGAAAAAGCUGCAGUUACCGCCUACAAGCACAUCAUAACAAGGCGUGGAGAACCACAGUUCUCCAGGAAUGACUUUGAAAUAUUUAAGGGGUUAUUUUACCAGAAAAGUUGUGAAAAAUGACACAGUCUCUAAAGAUUCAGAAAAUUAUAGAUUUUGCACAAUUACCAAAAUACGUGUUUAGAGAUUAGUACAACAGAACCUUUAGAUGAUUCUGAAGUGAUGUAAACUUUUUAUAGAGCUUGACACGAUCUAGUCCAAUGGUAAAAGAGAAUUUCAGAAAUAAAAGACACACUACUGACAACAUAUGUUGGGAGCCCAUGAGUUUCUUUCAUUCCAUCUUAUGAAUAUGAUCACCUCAACUCCCACCUUUCUCUGAUAUGAAAAUUGCCUUAAAUUUUGUCAUAUGUCCUUAUCUAUAACAUGAGAAUUGUUUAAUAUAGCACUUGCCCUGCUGAAUGUUAUUUGAAUUUAUUUGUUAAUGUACCUAAAAGUUUGCUUAGGAAGAAAAUGCUAGGCAUUAAUGCUUGUUCUAUUCUGAUAAAAUUUUGACAUUCUGUGUAUAAUUAAACCUUAGGUGAUGAUGUUGUUAGCUAAAUGGCCCUUCUCUCCAGUAGAAUAAUCUAGACAAUAAAAAUUAAAUAAAUGUCACUUAGAAAUGA